RNAcentral lists this ribosomal RNA (329 nucleotides) under uncultured eukaryote. Its description in RNAcentral is "partial 18S ribosomal RNA". It matches the Rfam family "Eukaryotic small subunit ribosomal RNA", at positions 1470 to 1796 of the family's 1831-position model. The record is from RNAcentral.
CCCUUAGAUGUUCUGGGCCGCACGCGCGCUACACUGACGGAGGCAGCGAGCGUGUCCUUCGCCGGCAGGUGCGGGCAAUCUUGCGAGUCUCCGUCGUGCUGGGGAUAGAUGGUUGCAAUUGUCGAUCUUGAACGAGGAAUUCCUAGUAAGCGCGAGUCAUCAGCUCGCGCUGAUUACGUCCCUGCCCUUUGUACACACCGCCCGUCGCUACUACAGAGUGCCCGUGUCCAAGAAACGGUAGGACCUGUGCGGCCUCUCCGGGCGACCGGAGGGCCGUUACGGGGAAGACCCUUUAUUUGACGCGGGUCGAUGAAGUAAAAGUCGUAACA